UUGGAUCCCGACGAAGUCGUAACAAGGUAGCCGUACCGGAAGGUGCGGCUGGAUCACCUCCUUUCUAAGGAGCACCACGAGAAACACUCCAAUUGGUGGGGUGUGAGCCGUGAGGGGUUCUCGUCUGUAGUGGACGAGGGCCGGGUGCACAACAACAGGCAAUCGCCAGACACACUAUUGGGCCCUGAGACAACACUCGGCCGACUUCGGUUGAAGUGGUGUCCCUCC
This 228-nucleotide unclassified non-coding RNA is filed under the name Mycobacterium simiae. Its description in RNAcentral is "partial contains 16S ribosomal RNA and 16S-23S ribosomal RNA intergenic spacer". The stretch from base 1 to 64 matches the Rfam family "Bacterial small subunit ribosomal RNA", at positions 1470 to 1533 of the family's 1533-position model. The record is from RNAcentral. Lineage: Bacteria; Bacillati; Actinomycetota; Actinomycetes; Mycobacteriales; Mycobacteriaceae.